UACGGGGGGAGCAAGCGUUGUUCGGAUUUAUUGGGAGUAAAGGGUGCGUAGGCGGUUGUGAGAAGUGAUUUGUGAAAUCUCCGGGCUUAACUCGGAACGGUCAAGUGAUACUGUCGGACUAGAGUACAGAAGGGGCAACUGGAAUUCUCGGUGUAGCGGUGAAAUGCGUAGAUAUCGAGAGGAACACCUGCGGCGAAGGCGGGUUGCUGGGCUGAUACUGACGCUGAGGCACGAAAGCCAAGGGAGCAAACAGG
This 254-nucleotide ribosomal RNA is filed under the name uncultured bacterium. Its description in RNAcentral is "partial 16S ribosomal RNA". It matches the Rfam family "Bacterial small subunit ribosomal RNA", at positions 524 to 776 of the family's 1533-position model. The record is from RNAcentral.